This 25-nucleotide non-coding RNA is filed under the name Mus musculus (house mouse). Lineage: Eukaryota; Metazoa; Chordata; Mammalia; Rodentia; Muridae. RNAcentral also lists the same sequence under 1 other name. The record is from RNAcentral.
UUUCACAGAUGGGGAAACUGAGGCC